RNAcentral lists this ribosomal RNA (488 nucleotides) under uncultured bacterium. RNAcentral's name for it is "bacterial SSU rRNA". It matches the Rfam family "Bacterial small subunit ribosomal RNA", at positions 28 to 526 of the family's 1533-position model. The record is from RNAcentral.
GACGAACGCUGGCGGCGUGCUUAACACAUGCAAGUCGAACGGUGAAGGUGGAGCUUGCUCUGCUGGAUCAGUGGCGAACGGGUGAGUAACACGUGAGCAAUCUGCCCCUGACUCUGGGAUAAGCGCUGGAAACGGCGUCUAAUACUGGAUAUGUGCCACGGCCGCAUGGUCUGUGGUUGGAAAGAUUUUUUGGUCAGGGAUGAGCUCGCGGCCUAUCAGCUUGUUGGUGAGGUAAUGGCUCACCAAGGCGACGACGGGUAGCCGGCCUGAGAGGGUGACCGGCCACACUGGGACUGAGACACGGCCCAGACUCCUACGGGAGGCAGCAGUGGGGAAUAUUGCACAAUGGGCGCAAGCCUGAUGCAGCAACGCCGCGUGAGGGAUGACGGCCUUCGGGUUGUAAACCUCUUUUAGCAGGGAAGAAGCGUAAGUGACGGUACCUGCAGAAAAAGCACCGGCUAACUACGUGCCAGCCGCCGCAGUAAUAC